GAUGAACGCUGGCGGCGUGCCUAAUACAUGCAAGUCGAGCGAACUGAUUAGAAGCUUGCUUCUAUGACGUUAGCGGCGGACGGGUGAGUAACACGUGGGCAACCUGCCUGUAAGACUGGGAUAACUUCGGGAAACCGAAGCUAAUACCGGAUAGGAUCUUCUCCUUCAUGGGAGAUGAUUGAAAGAUGGUUUCGGCUAUCACUUACAGAUGGGCCCGCGGUGCAUUAGCUAGUUGGCGAGGUAACGGCUCACCAAGGCAACGAUGCAUAGCCGACCUGAGAGGGUGAUCGGCCACACUGGGACUGAGACACGGCCCAGACUACUACGGGAGGCAGCAGUAGGGAAUCUUCCGCAAUGGACGAAAGUCUGACGGAGCAACGCCGCGUGAGUGAUGAAGGCUUUCGGGUCGUAAAACUCUGUUGUUAGGGAAGAACAAGUACAAGAGUAACUGCUUGUACCUUGACGGUACCUAACCAGAAAGCCACGGCUAACUACGUGCCAGCCGCCGCGGUAA
This 514-nucleotide ribosomal RNA is filed under the name uncultured bacterium. Its description in RNAcentral is "partial 16S ribosomal RNA". It matches the Rfam family "Bacterial small subunit ribosomal RNA", at positions 28 to 523 of the family's 1533-position model. The record is from RNAcentral.